RNAcentral lists this ribosomal RNA (497 nucleotides) under uncultured bacterium. Its description in RNAcentral is "partial 16S ribosomal RNA". It matches the Rfam family "Bacterial small subunit ribosomal RNA", at positions 28 to 507 of the family's 1533-position model. The record is from RNAcentral.
GAUGAACGCUGGCGGCGUGCCUAAUACAUGCAAGUCGAGCGAACAGACGAGGAGCUUGCUCCUCUGACGUUAGCGGCGGACGGGUGAGUAACACGUGGAUAACCUACCUAUAAGACUGGGAUAACUUCGGGAAACCGGAGCUAAUACCGGAGAAUAUAUUGAACCGCAUGGGUCAAUAGUGAAAGACGGUUUUGCUGUCACUUAUAGAUGGAUCCGCGCCGCAUUAGCUAGUUGGUAAGGUAACGGCUUACCAAGGCGACGAUGCGUAGCCGACCUGAGAGGGUGAUCGGCCACACUGGAACUGAGACACGGUCCAGACUCCUACGGGAGGCAGCAGUAGGGAAUCUUCCGCAAUGGGCGAAAGCUUGACGGAGCAACGCCGCGUGAGUGAUGAAGGUCUUCGGAUCGUAAAACUCUGUUAUUAGGGAAGAACAAAUGUGUAAGUAACUAUGCACGUCUUGACGGUACCUAAUCAGAAAGCCACGGCUAACUACGUG